ACGCUGGCUGUGUGCCUAAUACAUGCAUGUCGAGCGGAAGUAGCAAUACUUUAGCGGCGAAUGGGUGAGUAACACGUGCUUAAUCUACCUCUUAGAUUGGAAUACCUAAUGGAAACAUUGGUUAAUGCCGGAUACGCAUGGAGUCGCAUGACUCCGUUGUGAAAGGGGCCUUUAAAGCUCCACUAAGAGAUGAGGGUGCGGAACAUUAGCUUGUUGGUGAGGUAACGGCCCACCAAGGCUAUGAUGUUUAGCCGGGUCGAGAGACUGAACGGCCACAUUGGGACUGAGAUACGGCCCAAACUCCUACGGGAGGCAGCAGUAGGGAAUAUUCCACAAUGAGCGAAAGCUUGAUGGAGCGACACAGCGUGCACGAUGAAGGUCUUAUGGAUUGUAAAGUGCUGUUGCAAGGGAAGAAAAAGUAGUUGAGGAAAUGCUUCUACAUUGACGGUACCUUGUUAGAAAGCGAUGGCUAACUAUGUGCCAGCAGCCGCGGUAAUACAUAGGUCGCAAGCGUUAUCCGGAAUUAUUGGGCGUAAAGCGUUCGUAGGCUGUUUAUUAAGUCUGGAGUCAAAUCCCAGGGCUCAACCCUGGCUCGCUUUGGAUACUGGUAAACUAGAGUUGGAUAGAGGUAAGCGGAAUUCCAUGUGAAGCGGUGAAAUGCGUAGAUAUAUGGAAGAACACCAAAGGCGAAGGCAGCUUACUGGGUUUAUACUGACGCUGAGGAACGAAAGCGUGGGGAGCAAACAGGAUUAGAUACCCUGGUAGUCCACGCCGUAAACGAUGAUCAUUAGUCGGCAGAGAACUGUUGACGCAGCUAACGCAUUAAAUGAUCCGCCUGAGUAGUAUGCUCGCAAGAGUAAAACUUAAAGGAAUUGACGGGGACCCGCACAAGCGGUGGAGCAUGU
Molecule: ribosomal RNA, 905 nt
Filed under: uncultured bacterium
Lineage: Bacteria
Description: bacterial SSU rRNA
Rfam family: Bacterial small subunit ribosomal RNA
Source: RNAcentral